Molecule: ribosomal RNA, 254 nt
Filed under: uncultured bacterium
Lineage: Bacteria
Description: partial 16S ribosomal RNA
Rfam family: Bacterial small subunit ribosomal RNA
Source: RNAcentral
UACGUAGGCAGCGAGCGUUGUUCGGAGUUACUGGGCGUAAAGGGUGUGUAGGCGGUUAUUUAAGUUUGGUGUGAAAUCUCCCGGCUCAACCGGGAGGGUGCGCCGAAUACUGAAUGACUUGGAGUGCGGGAGAGGUGAGUGGAAUUCCCGGUGUAGCGGUGAAAUGCGCAGAUAUCGGGAGGAACACCAGUAGCGAAGGCGGCACUCUGGGCCGGUACUGACGCUGAGGAGCGAAAGCGUGGGGAGCGAACAGG